Molecule: unclassified non-coding RNA, 373 nt
Filed under: Hevea brasiliensis (rubber tree)
Lineage: Eukaryota; Viridiplantae; Streptophyta; Magnoliopsida; Malpighiales; Euphorbiaceae
Source: RNAcentral
GUGAUGAGGAUUCUUUGAACACAUUGCCUGGUCAAUAUUUCGACGGUGAACAAUGGAUGGUUGUUGACAUUGUGUUGCCUUUGAAGAAUCAUCUAUGAUAUCCAUAAUUGAUGAGAAAGACUUUGUUGCAUAGACAUCAACUUGAUGAGAGGUCUGUCUCGACAAGGCAUCCAUUCCAGGUGGAGGCAGCUGGUCAGUAAGAGAAUGAGUUUUAUUGAGAUCAGCUCUUCUCUUUCUCUUCCCCAUAAGUUUUAAACACACACCCACAAAGCCAAUUUCAUGUAAACUCAACAAGAUUAAAACUUUUUAGAAAAUCAGUGGCUAUUUAGCCACUAAUUUUUGGGGUUUUGGGUAGUUAAUUGCUUAAUUUGGG